CGUCUAUCGAUUGCUUAACAUAACAUUUCGCCCAUCGCUCGGCUGAAAGACAGCCAUGGCAAAGUGGAUAACGUUGUGUUUUCUCGUAGUCUGCGUGGCAGUUAUCAUCUUAACCCUUGUUGACAAUGCCGAUGCAGCCAGAGGGGGACGAUUUAGUUCACGAAGCGCCCGAUAUGGAACUAGAGUGAGAGUGAGGAACAGGAUCAGUUCAGCUAGGUAUGGUCGCACAAGGUAUGGUGGAACGAGGUACAGUGGAACGAGGUACGGUGGCACCAGGUUCAGUGGCACCAGGUACGGAAGUAGCAGGGUCCGCAUUCGUCAGCGAGUCCGCUACCGAGGCAGCUCAAGGAUGUACAAGGGCAGCUAUGGUCUGACCAGAUCUACAUGGAAGAAUGCCUUCCUGCUGGGAACUAUCUACCACGGCCCGUGGUACCUCCGCUCCCGACGCUAUCACUCUCACCCAAACAACAUGCCGACCAUAUGUCGCAAUAACUACGAGACUGAUGACAACAACACUGUGUACAACCUCUUCUUCUGCCCUCGCUUCUUCGAACCUGACGACUUCCAGUACUGCUGUGGCCCUGAACUUCGUGAAUACUGCUGCAAGUAUUUCGACAGCGCCGGUCGGACUGCAGGAAUCGUGAUCGGCGUGCUGGUGGUGGUGGUCAUCGUUGGGAUCAUCGUGUAUUGCGUAUGUAAGAAGAGGUCGAACCAAGGUGGCAAAGUUUUAAGCCCUUUCUCCAAAUCAGAACCAGCAUAUGCCAUCACCAAUCAGUAUUCCCCUGCACCUACCAUGACGUACGCCGCACCAGUGCAGCCUCCCCCCGCAGAGGCAGGCCCGCCGCCAGGAUACCCUGAUGCAGGUCAAAUGGCCCCCCAGCCCGGAUACCCCCCUCAGCCCGGAUAUCCCCCUCAACCUGGCUACAUACCCCCGCCGGGGCAGCCAGGUGCUCCAGACCAGACGGGGUACUACCCCCCACCUCAAGAAGGAAAGCCUAACCUACCCCCCGGGGAAGUGAGCCAGGGAGGCAUGCCCUACCCUCCACCCCAGGGGGGCAUGUAUCCACCCCCCGCAGGUUACGGAGGAGCCCCACCCGGGUAUGAAGCUGUUUCUACUGGAUACCCACCUCAGCCUCAACCGGGAGUUUACCCCCCACCCACAGGCCCAGGAGGGUACCCCCCACCUAACGCCCCAGGAGGGUACCCCCCACCUAACGUCCCAGGAGCCUACCCCCCACCCCAGCCCUCCGGCUACUGAUGAGGCAGACCCACACAGCUACAGGAGAUGUUGGGAGGAGCUGGCCUUUAUGUAUAUGUUGAAGUUUGGUGAUUAAUUGACUUGAGUCUGGUCAGUUACAUAGGUCCUUCAGGUUUACUGUUAUAAUACUGAUGCUGAUGUGUUUAUUGUCAUCACCUCAUUACUGCCGGUCACAGGUGCUGGGCCCACUUGCACAAAGCGAUCUUAGUGCUAAGACUAUCAUAAGCCUAUGUUAAAGUAUGGGAGUUACGAUCAUCUUAGCGCUAAGAUCGCUUUGUGCAAGUGGGUGCUGGUCUCCGAGGGGAACCGAGUGUCAAUCAGGGGGAAGGAUCGGAACGAUAAUAUAUUCUGAUAAUAUUUAUGAUAUUGUGUAGGUCUGUAUGACUGGCUUUUCUUGAGAGUCAUUCAGGGAGGGUGGUAAUAAAUAUCACACGCAGCCGAGAAUUUGGCCCUCAUGAAUCACUGUUACUACCAGUAGUACCUCUCAAAGCCCCAGAACUUACAGAAGGAAUUCACUGGUGACCGUUAAUCGGUUGUUUUGUUUACUUGUUGUAUAUUACCUUAUUUCAGGCCUUCUUGGUCAUCGUCCUCGGUGGUUCACUUUUGGAUGCAAAUUCUACAGCCUCCCCUACCCUCUGAACUAAGCACUCUACUGACUCCACGGAAACAAUGCUGUGUUCCAGUCACAUCCUACCUCAAGUGUAAUUCAUUGACCUCUUUUCAAAACUGAAAUCUUUCUUCUGGAUGUUUUACAAAACCAUGAAAGAAAUAAAAGAUUCCUAAUCCUGGUGUAAUAAAUCUAAAGCCUUUGAUCCAGAACACCUGUAUUGAUCUGUAAUUUUGAUGGCUGUUGGAAAAUAUUUGGUUAUCAAAAAGGGAAAUAUUUUUUUCAACAGCUUUGACAAAAUCUUAAUUUGUUCAAGAAGUGAACCACGUCUUGACAUGAUAGAAGAAAUAGGUCAGCUGAUCCAGAAUGAGCUGUGUUCAUGUUUGAUCAUGAUUCAUGAUUGUUCCGUAAGGUUAUUUUUGACAGACCUUUUGAAAAAUAAGCAAUCAGAAGUGCCAUUGCUCAACAGAAAACAAUCAAUUUUGUAAUGACCAUAAAAACAAAUAUCUGAUUUUCAGUGUAUAUUUUUGGUUACAGACAAGAUUUUGUACCUGUUUGUUAACUAGAAGUGCCAUGCAUUGUCAACACUUCUUAACACUUGCUACUAAUGUCCGGAUGUCGUAACUUCGUGCCCCCACACACUCACUCAUGCACUUGCUCACUCACGUGUGGGAAAUUGUUAAAAAAAUUAAAAGAAUUGUUUUUGUUUGUUGGGCAGGCAGACAGGGUAAUUAGAGAGGUAGGUCAUAGUCUGUUUGGUGGAUUCUUUACAAGGUUCGUUUCCAGUUGGCUCAAAAUCCCCAAUUUGAGCUCAAAUUAGGUCACUUGUGACGCAGGUGUUAAUUGGCUGACCAAUGGGGGAUUAAUGUAGAGUCUGUUCCAUCUCCUGGACCUAACAGAUACAGAUGGUUCUCACUCACGAUAUUGGCACUAACAACACAUCAUGAUUGGUAAUCAAAACUUUCAGACUUUCGAACUUUCAAAAUUCAACUUUGAAAUGGUAACUUCAGCUUUUAAGCUUUCAAGCUAACAAGCAUUCACCAGACAGGAACAGACUAUAAUCCACCAGCCCUAAUCCCCCCCCAAAUUUCAGUUUUGAGUCAACUGGGAGACCCCCUUUACAAGAAUAUUUAGUGAUGGUUGAAAUGUGAAGUAUAGUCAUCAACGUUUAAGCUCUAACUUUGCCUUGUUCCUACAUGUAGUAACCGUUAUGCAAAUUGUUGGAAGGAGCUUAAUGUAGAAAUUCUAUAAGCUUAUUGUAGAUGGUUUCAGAAUGUUGCCUUUAAGCAGAAUAGUCUGCAAUGAAUGUGUACAUGAACUUGGUGACAUGGUGUCAAGGUGCCCAGGUUUCCCUAUGGCUGUACAUGAUGACUGCCAACUUCCCUCAGUGUAACAGGGACUUCUGAAUGCUUCAUGUCCAGGAACAACAUGGGGGAGGAAAUCUUUAUGUUGCCGUACUGAAACCUGGUGUCUCUCAAUAUUGUGGAGGGGCUUUUUGGUCUAGUGUGCUUAUAGUAUUUGAGAUCAUGUUGAGUGAAGGGUUUGAUUGCUGCCUGAGAAUAUUGUUAAAUAGAUAUCUUGAAGGAGUUUGUAACAGAAGCCAUAACUCGUUUCUUUGAAUGCAUCCCCGGUAUGUUUUAGUCUUGUUUUUAUACACAGUACCUCCGACAGCUUUAUUGUCCACGAUAAAUGCAGGUUUUUGUUACCCGUGUAAUUGGCUAGACUGCAGUUGGCUGAUGCUCGAUAAAUGCAGGUUUUUGUUACCCGUGUAAUUGGCUAGACUGCAGUUGGCUGAUGCUCGAUAAAUGCAGGUUUUUGUUACCCGUGUAAUUGGCUAGACUGCAGUUGGCUGAUGCUCGAUAAAUGCAGGUUUUUGUUACCCGUGUAAUUGGCUAGACUGCAGUUGGCUGAUGCUCGAUAAAUGCAGGUUUUUGUUACCCGUGUAAUUGGCUAGACUGCAGUUGGCUGAUGCUCGAUAAAUGCAGGUUUUUGUUACCCGUGUAAUUGGCUAGACUGCAGUCGGCUGAUGCUCGAUAAAUGCAGGUUUUUGUUACCCGUGUAAUUGGCUAGACUGCAGUUGGCUGAUGCUCGAUAAAUGCAGGUUUUUGUUACCUGUGUAAUUGGCUAGACUGCAGUCGGCUGAUGCUCGAUAAAUGCAGGUUUUUGUUACCCGUGUAAUUGGCUAGACUGCAGUCGGCUGAUGCUCUGCAGUCAGCAGCAGGAAGUAUCAAUCAAUUCAUUGUAUCCCUAUUGGUUUUUAAACUGAAAAUAUUGAAGUUAAGUUUCCCAAGGGGUGUCCCCGUAUAUUGUGAUGCUAUUGUUAGGACAGAUCGUUUAGAUUCAGGUGUUCGGUGCAGUUUUGUCACCAGGACCAUGACGUUUUGUCUUACGUAUUUACAUCAGUUUGAUAUUAGUUGUUCAUCUUUUUUACAGCCUAUUUAUGCUGAUUGUAUAUAUAAUGUUUAUUUCUUCACAUAUUUUCAUUAUACAUCAGCAAUUUUGUAAAAUGUUACAUUGCUAUAUUGCAUGUCGUGACUUUCUUUAAAUGUAAAAACUUAUGUCAAUUUCAAUCUUAAUAUUUUUUAUUUCAUACUACCUGGAUGAUAAAGUUCAUCAACUACGUCCAAUGUACACAAGACUGUUUUACAAUUGAUGUUUCUUACAGACAUAAAAAACAUUACAUAAAAAACUAUUUCCGUCUAUUUGAGACAUUUUUUGUCACCCGGAAGAAGGGUGUACUGAACAGUCUGACCUACUUAAAACUGUUACGUGUAUCUAUAUGUGACUUGGAGUGUUUGUUUUUGUUGUUUGACGCCACACUCAGCAAUAUUCCAGCUUUAUGACAGCGGUCUGUAAAUAUCGAGUCUGGACCAAACAAUCCAGUGAUUGACAUGAGCAUCGAUCUAGGCGAUUGGGAUACAAUGACAUGCAUCAACUAAGUCAGCGAACCUGACCACGCGAUCCGGUUAGCAACUCUUAUGACAAGCAUUGGUUGCUGAAGUCCAGUUCUAACCCAGAUCUUCACUGGGAGUGGAUUUGCCCCAGUAUUUUGAUAUUCCUUCAUGUAGCACAUUCUAAAGAACCCUCCAGGUACAUGGUCCAAGGGAGGUAACUCUAAGUCCUCUAUGCAGUGAUGUGCUAGUCAGCGUAAGGAGUUAAACAAGGGUGGCUGAGGUUUGUUAUGUUUGUGAAUGUACUCCAUCAACAGGAGAUUAACGUCAAUCAGUGUCGUCAAGAUGUGUCGACAUCUGUACUCCGCAACAUCAAACUAUAGUCAGUUUAUGGCAGCCAACUGUGCAAGUACACUGUUUGGAGUUUCAACCAAUGCAAAAUGUUGAUUGGUUAGUCUAACAUAUUUAUAAUUGUUAUCACAUUCUUUUUUAUUUCUAACUUGAUGUACAAAUAUAUUCUCAGAAAACCAUACAUGUCAGUUAAAAUUUUAAUAUAAUUGCAAAACAAUAAUUAGAUAUCAUCUUCCAGUAAUUUUAUAUAGGUGAAAUUACUAAAAGUAAAAGACACCGGCAGCUUGGAGUGUUUCUCUGAAUGACACAACCGAUAUUGGUCUGUUAAGAUGUUUGAGAGGAUUGCACACCACGUAACCUGCGAACAAGCCCUCCUGCACCGUGGGUCAUCCAGACUGCUUUCUCCGUUCCAACAUCAUCAGCUCUUAGUCCAAAUAACCAGUGUGUUUCCUCGUCCAAACCUAUGUGAUGUGAUGUAUUUUUCUAUUUCGUUCAUUGAAGAAACAUUUUGCCUGUGUUCAUGUUUCUAUAUGAAGAGUUUUAAGCAUCCAUUUUUGUAUUUUGCUCUAAAUUGACGAAUGCUGAGGGUAUGAGACUCCUAUCCUCCAUUUUGGAUAGAAUUCCCUUUAACAUUUGAACAGUUCUAUGAAAUGAAUAUGUUGAAGUUACAGAUAUGUCAAAUUGAUGUUGAAAUUAAACUUUGAAAAAUGUUUGUAAUAUAAUUUUGAAUGGACUUGUUAGUUUUGAUGGAUAAGUUUUAUAACAUAAUUUCAGUGACCAGAAAAAAGUGUCAGUUUUCAUUUUUUGAUGUUGUGCUUUGAAGUUUUGCCUUGCUAUCCAUAUUGGAUCAACUAUGAUGAAUAGAAAUUAUUCGGCUUUUAUGAUUGAUGUAAGGCUUGUUUGAUUCUCUACUGUGAUUGGCCAUAUAUUCUGUCUUGUAUAUUUUAGUAUCUGAAUAAAUUUUUUAAACUUA
RNAcentral lists this unclassified non-coding RNA (6080 nucleotides) under Haliotis rufescens (red abalone). RNAcentral describes it as "proline-rich protein HaeIII subfamily 1-like, transcript variant X7". Lineage: Eukaryota; Metazoa; Mollusca; Gastropoda; Lepetellida; Haliotidae. The record is from RNAcentral.